UAGGGAAUCUUCGGCAAUGGACGAAAGUCUGACGGAGCAACGCCGCGUGAGUGAAGAAGGUUUUCGGAUCGUAAAACUCUGUUGUUAGAGAAGAACAAGGACGUUAGUAACUGAACGUCCCCUGACGGUAUCUAACCAGAAAGCCACGGCUAACUACGUGCCAGCAGCCGCGGUAAUACGUAGGUGGCAAGCGUUGUCCGGAUUUAUUGGGCGUAAAGCGAGCGCAGGCGGUUUCUUAAGUCUGAUGUGAAAGUCCCCGGCUCAACCGGGGAGGGUCAUUAGAAACUGGGAGACUUGAGAGCAGAAGAGGGGAGUAGAAUUCCAAGUGUAGCGAUGAGAUGCGUAGAUAUAUGGAGGAACACCAGUGGCGAAGGCGGCUCUCUGGUCUGUAACUGGCGCUGAGGAUCGGAAGCGUGGGGAGCAAACAGG
RNAcentral lists this ribosomal RNA (429 nucleotides) under Gemmatimonadota bacterium. RNAcentral's name for it is "Gemmatimonadetes bacterium partial 16S ribosomal RNA". It matches the Rfam family "Bacterial small subunit ribosomal RNA", at positions 355 to 776 of the family's 1533-position model. Lineage: Bacteria; Pseudomonadati; Gemmatimonadota. The record is from RNAcentral.